Molecule: long non-coding RNA, 813 nt
Organism: Talpa occidentalis (Iberian mole)
Lineage: Eukaryota; Metazoa; Chordata; Mammalia; Eulipotyphla; Talpidae
Exons: 3
Source: RefSeq, a predicted model, not a curated record
UCUAGCAAGAAGAAGGAAAUUAGCUGUAAUAAGCCGCUGUUGCCUCACCCAAAAGCCUCCAACGCAGACCCUCGGAGGGACUCCUGGCUCUUUUCUUCUGUUCUCCCGCCUUUCCAGUCACCUGCCGUCACGGGUAGUGGCCUCCUCCACACCCAAUCCUGUGACAUCACUGAUGGGAAUUAUCAAGAUCCCUGGGGCUGUGAGGAGGAGGAGGAGGAAGCCACAGGCACUCAAAGAAGCUGUCCCUGGCCUCUCCCUGAGCCAUUAGUUUGAAUGGUGGUAGGAGAAGCAGGAUUUACCAGAUUGUUUCCCCUGGGGGAGACCACAGGAUGUCAUGGAAAAGAGCCUAGAGGAGGAGCCUGACUGCUCGAAGUGGAAGCCUGGCUCAGCCGCUUACCAGCUGUGUGACCCUGAGCAUGCUCUUGAACCUCUCUGUGCCUCAGUUUCCUCAUCUAUGACGCCUCUGCUGCUAACGCUGCCAGGGUUGCUGCCUGGAAGGAGUUCUGAAGCACCCCUCCUUGCUUUCCUCAACUGGCCCACAUCUUUGCAAAUAACCUCUUCGUAGACUCUCCUCAGUGGUUUGAAGGAACCAUCUGUCUCCUGCCAGGACCCAGAUGAACACAAACAGCCUGAGCUAAGCUUUAGCUUAGCCUUCCAGGCCCCUCAAAACAACGCCCUCCAGCCCCCUCAAAACAACUCUGUGUGAAGGGCUGUUGUUAGCUCUAUUUACAGAGAAGGUAACUGGAGAUUCAACUUGCCCAAAGCUGAGGGAGUGGCACAAUUAGAACCCAGUCUGUCAGUCAACAGGAUAAA